CCUAGACCUCACUUAAGGGUUGGCAGUGGAGCCAAGGCUAUCUUGUUGGGGAUCCCUUCGUAACUGAGGCCUUCUGAAGGUGGAAUAGAUGAAGAGAGAAAGAGUUCGCCGAGGAACUACUUAACACCGGUUAGGAGUCAGCAGGGAUUUGGUAUACAGGUUAGCGGAGGAAAGAGCAUACAGAAGGAAAAAGGAUAAUGAGAUGCUUUCCAUUUAAAUUUGAAAACUGCUUGGGUUGUCCUUACAAAUUUAUCUCUCCAGUGAACAUCAGAGUUGAAAUUCCUCUUGCCAAUUUUUCUAUUUCCACAAGUUGGUGGUGGCCGGAAUACUGGCCACAUGUGAUUGGAAGAACAGAAGACUUAGAGAUGAGAAGCAGAUUCCUAUUGAGGUCUACUGAGGUUUGAGUAUGGCCAAGAGAUGUAGUAGUGUGCAGUGUCGCUGACUGAAGGCAGCCAUAUCACAUUUGUAACAAGUUCAUUCCAGGACCUCAAGUGCCUGUGAAACUAAACUUGAUGUUGUAAUAACUGCCUUUCACUUCAGAUCAAGAACGUACUCUGGAAAUGAGAGACUUUGCAUGCUAUUUCGUAGUUUUGCUGCCUGACAGGUGAAUUUAUAUAGCAGCCAAUUCCCUCCCUUCUCGUGCCCCUGCUGUGAUGGUGCUUUUUUCUUCUCUGGGCAUUUGUAAUUCUGGGGGGUAUGAAAAGAAGAAUCAGGAAAGAUGUGAAAAGACGUCAUCAAUUAUUUCAAAUAAAUCUAAUAAACUGAACAGAUGUUGGCUGUCUGUUUCCAAACUUUCCUUGGGAAAGAAAUCCUUUAGAUUUCCUUUUUAUCUAAGGUCUUCUUUGCCAGAAUGUAGAUAUUAUAUGCAGUAACUCCACAUCUAUACAGUAAUCACUUCCUAAUCACUUAUCUUCAAAUUCCUGAAGUACACCAGUAUCCAGGUUUUUCCUGAUUGUUUUCCAUGCUUUUGAAGGAAAUUGACAUUUCCUUCUUCAUACAUCUGCUUAAAUUCCAUAUUCUUUAGGAGCAGUGUGUUUAUGGAAGGUGUAUAAUGAUAGUGCUGGAGUUUUAAAUGCUAGGUAUAAGCUGUUUUAAAAAAAGAUCCAAUGGCAAAUUUAAUUUUUGCAUAUUUGUUAAGAUUAAAUUCUUUGCACGCUUUUUUGAAGCAAAGAAACUUUCUAUCUCA
Lagopus muta (rock ptarmigan) is the source of this 1186-nucleotide long non-coding RNA. RefSeq lists it as uncharacterized. The transcript is spliced from 3 exons. The record is from RefSeq and is a predicted model, not a curated record. NCBI's taxonomy places the organism in Eukaryota, Metazoa, Chordata, Aves, Galliformes, Phasianidae.